GCCCUUUCAAAUUCCGCCAAAAAUGCUUAUAUUUGGGCUGCCGGCUCGUCCGGCUAUGGCGCUAAACGCCUUGUGAAAUAAACGUAGCGGACCCGGGGGCAGUACCCGGCGCCUCCACCAGGAGUGCAUCGCAGUUCGAAUCAUGGCCGGUCCGUGCCGGCUUUCACCAUUCGAUGCAUUGCUGAUGGGGGCGAAACAGGAUCGACGCGCGUGGUAAAGACAAGGUUUGCGUUCGGU
Molecule: transfer-messenger RNA, 237 nt
Filed under: Alphaproteobacteria bacterium
Lineage: Bacteria; Pseudomonadati; Pseudomonadota; Alphaproteobacteria
Description: partial transfer-messenger RNA
Rfam family: Alphaproteobacteria transfer-messenger RNA
About the family: Bacterial tmRNA, also known as 10Sa RNA or SsrA, is named for its dual tRNA and mRNA-like properties. Its role is to liberate the mRNA from a stalled ribosome.
Source: RNAcentral